RNAcentral lists this transfer RNA (73 nucleotides) under Stegodyphus mimosarum. It matches the Rfam family "tRNA". Rfam says of the family: Transfer RNA (tRNA) molecules are approximately 80 nucleotides in length. Lineage: Eukaryota; Metazoa; Arthropoda; Arachnida; Araneae; Eresidae. The record is from Rfam by way of RNAcentral.
GCCUUCGUAGUGUAGCGGUAAGCACACUCGUCGCGUAACCGAAAAGUCCGUGGUUCGAUUCCCGGCGAGGGCA